Molecule: long non-coding RNA, 280 nt
Organism: Monodelphis domestica (gray short-tailed opossum)
Lineage: Eukaryota; Metazoa; Chordata; Mammalia; Didelphimorphia; Didelphidae
Source: RefSeq, a predicted model, not a curated record
AAAUAAUAACUGUACACUGGGAUUGGUCAUGGAAGAUUUCAUGAAGGAGGUGGAACUGUUAGUCACUGAAGGCUGAGAAGGAUUCAAGUAUAAGAGAAAGAAGGAAAGAUAUUCAAGUCUUUUUCAAGACCACUCUUUAAAGAACAAGAGAAAGAAACAACAACGAUAACAAAAACAGCUGAACGACCAACCAUCCUGGAAGUCGUGUAUUUAAAACAUUCUUCUUUUGGCCAUAAUGAGCACACAUGCAAGUGCCCGGAAUAAAAAUGAGAUGCAGGUU